This 255-nucleotide ribosomal RNA is filed under the name uncultured bacterium. RNAcentral describes it as "partial 16S ribosomal RNA". It matches the Rfam family "Bacterial small subunit ribosomal RNA", at positions 524 to 777 of the family's 1533-position model. The record is from RNAcentral.
UACAGAGGGUGCGAGCGUUAAUCGGAAUUACUGGGCGUAAAGCGCGCGUAGGCGGCUUGCAAGUCAGAGGUGAAAGCCCGGGGCUCAACCCCGGAAUUGCCUUUGAGACUGCAUCGCUAGAACGUCGGAGAGGUAAGUGGAAUUCCGAGUGGUAGAGGUGAAAUUCGUAGAUAUUACGGAAGAACACCAGUGGCGAAGGCGACUUACUGGACGACUGUUGACGCUGAGGUGCGAAAGCGUGGGGAGCAAACAGGG